This 468-nucleotide ribosomal RNA is filed under the name uncultured bacterium. Its description in RNAcentral is "partial 16S ribosomal RNA". It matches the Rfam family "Bacterial small subunit ribosomal RNA", at positions 28 to 507 of the family's 1533-position model. The record is from RNAcentral.
GACGAACGCUGGCGGCGUGCUUAACACAUGCAAGUCGAACGGAAAGGCCCUGCUUUUGUGGGGUGCUCGAGUGGCGAACGGGUGAGUAACACGUGAGUAACCUGCCCUUGACUUUGGGAUAACUUCAGGAAACUGGGGCUAAUACCGGAUAGGAGCUCCUGCUGCAUGGUGGGGGUUGGAAAGUUUCGGCGGUUGGGGAUGGACUCGCGGCUUAUCAGCUUGUUGGUGGGGUAGUGGCUUACCAAGGCUUUGACGGGUAGCCGGCCUGAGAGGGUGACCGGCCACAUUGGGACUGGGGUACGGCCCCGACUCCUACGGGAGGCAGCAGUGGGGAAUAUUGCACAAUGGGCGGAAGCCUGAUGCAGCAACGCCGCGUGCGGGAUGACGGCCUUCGGGUUGUAAACCGCUUUCGCCUGUGACGAAGCGUGAGUGACGGUAAUGGGUAAAGAAGCACCGGCUAACUACGUG